UGUCAUUGGCCUGCCUGUAACUGGGCUUGAUGCCCAAGAAGACUGUCCAGGUCGGUGGUCCAGAAACUCCAGGCAGGCAAGGAUUUGAGCACAUGCUGGAAAGCAGAUGGGCAGUGAAGCUGGGACAGGUAGUCCGAAAGCAGUUCAUUCUUCCCCCAAGGGAUGAACUGUUCACACUGAGAAGCCAGGCCAGUGCAUGAUGUGAAAGAUUCUCUUGCUCAGAGCCUGGAGAGCAACUGUCAGUCUGCAUAGAACCGGGACAGGGAACCCUUUUCUGGCUGAGGGCCACAUCCCCUUAUGGGCAACUUUCUGGGGGGCAUGUGCCAGUGGUGGGUGGGACCAGAGGCAAAAGUGGGUGGAGCAACAAAUGCAAAUUUUAGUUUUGAAGAGUAGGUCAGCUUCUGCACACAUGCUUCUGUUUCCUCUAUCCAGGUAAGCAAGAGGCAUGAUCAGAGCACACAUUCCAGCCAAGCAAAGAAAACCAUAGCUGUGCCCUGAGGAGAAGUGUCUAGGGAGAGCCCCAAGGCCAGAUAGAGAAGCCCUGAGGGCCACAUUAAACCCCUGGGCCUGAGGUUCCAAACGCCUAGUGUUUGAAAUUUGCCAGGCACCAGGCACAUUUUGUAACUGGCUAUUGGUCACUUGUGACCAUGUGAAGAUGUCAGAGCGCCAGGAUGACGCCUGAUAUCUCCAUCAUCAUCAUCAUUUUUAAUUUGUAUACCAUCUUUUUAUCUUACAAUACUCAAAGCGGUUUACCAGCUGAAGAAACAAAAAAUGUACAUCUUAUAACAAUCUAAUGCAAUACAAAAAUGUGAUAAUAAAAUAUAACUUUAAAAUAGACAACCUACAUCAAAAAAGUAACAUUCAGCAAUCAUUAGAAUAGUAUUAAAUAAUAAUAACAACAUAUAAAAGUUAAACAGAAAUCCACUCAAAGUUACAAUAAAUAAUUUCUAAACUAUAAUCAAUAAAACAACAGCAAGCCACAGUACAUAAAAUAAUGCAAUACAAAUUGAGAAGCAGAGACUAGAGCAGGGGUAGGCAACCUAAGGCCUGGGGGCCGGAUGCAGCCCAAUCGCCUUCUCAAUCCGGCCCGUGGACAGUCCAGAAAUCAGUGUGUUUUACAUAAGUAGUAUGUGCCCUUUUAUUUAAAAUGCAUCUCUGGGUUAUUUGUGGGGCAUAGGAAUUCGUUCAUCCCCUCCCCCAAAAAAAUAUAGUCCGGCCCACCACAAGGUCUGAGGGACUGUGGACCGGCCCACGGCUGAAAAAGGUUGCUGACCCCUGGACUAGAGGGUGGAGCAAGGCAGGUGGAAGGAGGCCUUGCCUGAUGAAGUCUCUCCCCUCACAGUUCUUCCUCCAGGACCAGCUCCCUUAUGAGGUCUCGUAGGGUCAGAGGGUGGGACGAAGCAGGUGGAAGGAAGCCUUGUCUGAUGGAGUCUCUCCCCUCACCAUCUCCCCUCCACCAUCUGAAGGUGUAUGCCUGGGAAUCCUUGGAUCUUGACCAUUUUCACACACUAGCAACACAUCCUGUUGUAUUUUAUCUGCACAAUCAGAAUAAAUUUCAGGAACCAAAAAGUCGUAUUGCUGCCACAUUCGUAAAGUUGCCCCAAAAUGGCAACUAGGCAUUCAGUUUUGGCAACCAUCACCCUGGUUAAAGGAGCCAUUUGACGCCUAGCUUAUAUUGCUGAGUUUCUAACACUGAACACAUCUUCUCUAAAGAGGUCACUGGAGGAUGUCUUGGUGGUUUUGACCUACCCUUUUCCUGCUUAUUUCUCAAGAUCUAUGAACAGAACAUGAUUUGUGAAAAACCACAGUUUGGAGAUUCACCUUGCAGAUCCUAAAACUGUUUUUUUAAAAAAAACCACCACCAACAACAACUCCCUAGUUUUAAUAAAAGUGUCUUGGGAGUUGGGUGCAGAAGCCUCUGAGGAAGAUGUCAGCUGUAAAAUCCUGCUGAGGACCAGUCACUGCUGUGCUGGUUGGUAGCCAGUGUGUCUAAAGCUCUGGCAUAAUUUGACGGGUAAUCUGGAAUGAUGGAACAGAACAAGACUCUGGCUGCACAGAUGGGUCAUUCCUUUUCUUUGCUCUGCAUGCUGCUACUUACUAUCUUGUCACCUCAAAGCUUGCAGUGAGGUCAGCAGAACCUCUGCAGCUGAGAUGGAAAUUCCUUACUGGCCUGAUCUUCGCUGAGGUUAAUAGGCAGUGUGAUGCACAAUCUUAAUAGCCAUAAAGGCAUUUGGAAAGCCUAAGAAGGGAGCGUUCUCAGUUCAUCUUGCUUUGGCAAUAACAUGAAGCAUUCAGCGAAAGACUUCACCCCUGAAUGUGAAGAAGUCCUCAGUGGGAAUUUCAGGAGGAAUCCUGGAUCAAUAUUAUAUUGUCAGAUGCUCUCUACUUCCUUAAAGUGAUGAAAGCAUCUAGGGGCAGUCAUUCCUCAGUUAUGGCUUCCUCUGGAGAAGAGCGCACUGGAGACAAGUGGUAUUUACUUGAACUCACUGAAAAAGACCUUGUGGUUGAAACAAAUUUGGUCAUUAAACUUUGUACUGAUUCCUUUCA
Molecule: non-coding RNA, 2547 nt
Organism: Podarcis lilfordi (Lilford's wall lizard)
Lineage: Eukaryota; Metazoa; Chordata; Lepidosauria; Squamata; Lacertidae
Source: the annotation of a GenBank genome assembly